UUAGAGUUUGAUCCUGGCUCAGGACGAACGCUGGCGGCAUGCCUAAUACAUGCAAGUCGAACGCUGAAGCACUCUGCUUGCAGAGUGCGGAUGAGUGGCGAACGGGUGAGUAACACGUGGGAAAUCUGCCUAGGAGUGGGGGAUAACAUUCGGAAACGGAUGCUAAUACCGCAUAUCUUUUUGAACCGCAUGGUUCUUAAACGAAAGACGGCUUCGGCUGUCGCUCUUAGAUGAUCCCGCGGCGUAUUAGUUAGUUGGUGGGGUAAAGGCCUACCAAGACCAUGAUACGUAGCCGACCUGAGAGGGUGAUCGGCCACACUGGGACUGAGACACGGCCCACACUCCUACGGGAGGCAGCAGUAGGGAAUCUUCCACAAUGGGUGAAAACCUGAUGGAGCAAUGCCGCGUGAAUGAAGAAGGUCUUCGGAUCGUAAAGUUCUGUUAUUAGAGAAGAACAAGUCAAGGAGUAACUGUCUUGACUUUGACGGUACCUAACCAGAAAGUCACGGCUAACUACGUGCCAGCAGCCGCGGUAAUACGUAGGUGACAAGCGUUGUCCGGAAUUAUUGGGCGUAAAGGGAGCGCAGGCGGUUGGAAUAGUCUGAUGUGAAAGCCCACGGCUUAACCGUGGAAGGUCAUUGGAAACUGUCCAACUUGAAUACAGAAGAGGUAAGUGGAAUGCCAAGUGUAGCGGUGAAAUGCGUAGAAUAUUUGGAGGAACACCAGUGGCGAAGGCGACUUACUGUUCUGUAUUUGACGCUGAAGCUCGAAAGCGUGGGGUAGCAAACAGGAUUAAUACCCCUGGUAAUCCCCCCCCAAAA
RNAcentral lists this ribosomal RNA (821 nucleotides) under uncultured bacterium. Its description in RNAcentral is "bacterial SSU rRNA". It matches the Rfam family "Bacterial small subunit ribosomal RNA", at positions 1 to 806 of the family's 1533-position model. The record is from RNAcentral.